AACGAACGCUGGCGGCAUGCCUAACACAUGCAAGUCGAACGAGACCUUCGGGUCUAGUGGUGCACGGGUGCGUAACGCGUGGGAACCUGCCCUUAGGUUCGGAAUAACUCCCCGAAAGGGGUGCUAAUACCGGAUAAUGUCUUCGGACCAAAGAUUUAUCGCCUUUGGAUGGGCCCGCGUUGGAUUAGCUAGUUGGUAGGGUAAAAGCCUACCAAGGCGACGAUCCAUAGCUGGUCUGAGAGGAUGAUCAGCCACACUGGGACUGAGACACGGCCCAGACUCCUACGGGAGGCAGCAGUGGGGAAUAUUGGACAAUGGGCGAAAGACUGAUCCAGCAAUGCCGCGUGAGUGAUGAAGGCCUUAGGGUUGUAAAGCUCUUUUACCCGGGAUGAUAAUGACAGUACCGGGAGAAUAAGCUCCGGCUAACUCCGUG
Molecule: ribosomal RNA, 433 nt
Filed under: uncultured bacterium
Lineage: Bacteria
Description: partial 16S ribosomal RNA
Rfam family: Bacterial small subunit ribosomal RNA
Source: RNAcentral